AACUCAUGAUGAGGGAACCUUCUCAAAAGAUCUUUAAAUCUCUCUCAGGCACCAUAUAAUAUCUCUAAUUCAAUUUGAGCAUAAGAAGAGAUGUUGUUCCUCAACUU
This is a small nucleolar RNA of Gossypium raimondii (Peruvian cotton), 107 nucleotides long. It matches the Rfam family "Plant small nucleolar RNA R71". Rfam says of the family: R71 is a member of the C/D box family of snoRNAs containing the C (UGAUGA) and D (CUGA) box motifs. Multiple nearly identical copies of this snoRNA have been identified in Arabidopsis, and it is thought to function as a 2'-O-ribose methylation guide for 18S ribosomal RNA. The record is from Rfam. NCBI's taxonomy places the organism in Eukaryota, Viridiplantae, Streptophyta, Magnoliopsida, Malvales, Malvaceae.